Molecule: long non-coding RNA, 999 nt
Organism: Clupea harengus (Atlantic herring)
Lineage: Eukaryota; Metazoa; Chordata; Actinopteri; Clupeiformes; Clupeidae
Source: Ensembl
GGCCAUUCAUCUGUGUGUGUUGUCUUUAGUUGGAUAUUAGUGGACUUAGUGCGCAGCAAGUAAUCAGCGAGGAAACUCAUACUGUUUGAAUAAUGCUUUGGAUACUUAUAAUCCUUCUCAUGAACAUGUACAAAGCACAUGAUAUUAUUCAAUUAAAUCGAGUAAUAGAAGCUGCACCUGGAGAUACAGUGACUUUAGAUUGCUUUUUUCCUGAGGCUUUCAAACACUACCAACUGUCCUGGUACAAACAGACACUGGGACAAAAGCCUUUUUUGGUGGCUACGCGACUUUUUUGGUCGGGAGCCACUCUAUCCUGGGAUCCUUUGUUUUCUAAAGACUUUCAAAAUGGACGGAUGAACAUACCAAAUCAGUUUGAUGGAGUAUUUAAUCUGACCCUCAAAAGCAUCAACUCAUCUGAUGAAGCAACGUAUUACUGCACAGGGACAUUUAAUGAGCAGAGUACAUUUGGAAAUGGAACGUUUUUGGCUCUUAAAGGUAAUACACGUGUGUUUCAACAGAACACUACAACAAUUCAGGGGUUAUGAGACAUUUCACCCACUUUAUAUUUACUAUUAUCUUUGAAAUAUAGGACACAGACAGUUUAACCAGAGCUUUAAUGAUGAUAGAGCAUUCAUCUGCGCAGUGGCCAACUGUGGACAAAUGAACACUGAAAAGAAGACAGUGUUGAACACAGAAAAAGCUGUGGAUCCUGUUGUUUAUGGGUUGGCUGCUGUGUUGGGACUGUGUUUUGUGCUCAUAUGUUACUUGGCCAGUUUAAUGUACCAAGACAGGAAACACAAACAUGACAAAGAAGUGAAGUCUCAACAAGUUCACACAGACAGGUCCUUCAGAGAUCCAUCAAGUGGGCAGGAUGCUGAAGAACUGAUCAAUUAUGCUGCCUUGCACUUCUCUGAUAAGAAAUUGAAAAUAGGAAAGAAGAAGAGAGAACUGCCACAAGAGAGCAUAUACUCCGAUGUCAGAGGUUAAUAACCGAGGGAG